RNA transcript from Otolemur garnettii (small-eared galago), 2288 nucleotides. It is a transcript of the gene named heat shock protein HSP 90-beta pseudogene, with no coding region annotated. Lineage: Eukaryota; Metazoa; Chordata; Mammalia; Primates; Galagidae. The transcript has 3 exons. The record is from RefSeq and is a predicted model, not a curated record.
UGAGUCACCCCUGCAUAGCUGUGGUGCGGCGUGUGAGUUGGACAGCCCGACCCACCUGAUUUCUAAUACUUGUAGCCCUGUUUCUUCAAGAUGCCUGAAGACAUGCACUGUGGAGAGGAGGAGGUGGAGACUCUUGCCUUUCAGGCAGAAAUUGCCCAGCUCACGUCUCUCAUCAUCAAUACUUUCUAUUCCAACAAGGAAACCUUCCUUCGAGAGUUGAUCUCUAAUGCUUCUGAUGCCUUGGACAAGAUUCUUUAUGAGAGCCUGACAGAUCCUUCCAAGUUGGACAGUGGUAAAGAGUUAAAAAUUGACAUCAUCCCCAACCCUCAGGAACAAACUCUGACCUUGGUGGACACAGGCAUUGGCAUGACCAAGGCUGAUCUCAUAAAUAAUUUGGGAACUAUUGCAAAGUCUGGUACUAAAGCAUUUAUGGAGGCUCUUCAGGCUGGUGCAGAUAUCUCCAUGACUGGGCGGUUUGGUGUUGGCUUUUAUCCUGAUUAACUAGUGUCAGAGAAGGUGGUCAUGAUCACAAAACACAACGAAGAUGAACAGUGUGCCUGGGAAUCUUCUGCUGGGGAUUCCUUCACUGUUCGUGCUGAUCAUGGUGAGCCCAUUGGCAGGAGCACCAACGUGAGCCUCCACCUGAAAGAAGACCAGACAGAGAACUCAGAGAAGAGGUGGGUCAAAAAAGUAGUGAAGAAGCAUUCACAGUUCAUAGGCUAUCCCAACACCCUUUACUUGGAGAAGGAAAGCAGUGACGAUGAGGCAGAAGAAGAGAAAGGUGAGAAAGAAGAGGAAGAUAAAGAUGAUGAAGAGAAGACCAAGAUCCAAGAUGUGGGCUCAGAUGAGGAGGAUGACCGCUGUAAGGAUAAGAAAAAGAAAACCAAAAAGAUUAAGGAACAAUACAUUGAUCUGGAAGAAUUAAACAAAACCAAGCCCAUUUGGACCAAAACCCCUGAUGACAUCACCCAGGAGGAGUAUGGAGAAUUCUUCAAGAGCCUCACCAUGGUUGGGAAGACCCUUUGCAGUCAAGCACUUUCCUGUAGAAGGUCAGUCGGGCUUCAGGGCAUUGCUUUUCAUCCCUCAUUGGGCUCCCUCUGACCUGUUUGAGAACAGAAAGAAAAAGAACAACAUUAAACUCUAUGUCUGUUGUUUGUUCAUCACAGACAGCUGUGAUGAGUUGAUAUCAGAGUAUCUCAACUUUAUCUGUGAUUGACUCUGAGGAUCUGCCCCUGGACAUCUCCCGAGAAAUGCUUCAGCAGAGCAAAAUCCCAAAAGUGAUUUGCAAAAACACUGUUAAAAAGUGCCUUUAUUGGUUCUUUUCUGAGUUGGCAGAAGAAAAGGAGAACUAUAAGAAAUUUUAUGAGGCAUUUUCUAAAAAUUUGAAGCUUGGAAUACAUGAGAACUCCACUAACCUGCAACAUACCUCCCAAAUCUGGAGAUGACAUGCCUUCUCUGUCAGAGUACGUCUCUCUCUGUUCUAUGAAGGAAACACAGCCGUCCAUCUAUUACAUCACUGGUGAGAGCAAAGAGCAGGUGGCCAAGCCGGCGUUUGUGGAGCGAGUGCGGAAGCAGGGCUUUGAGGUGGUAUAUAUGAUGAGCACUGCGUGUAGCAGGUCAAGGAGUUAGAUGAGAAGAGCCUGGGCUCAGUUACCAUGGAGGGCCUGAAGCUACCCAAGCAUGAGGAAGACAAGAAGAAAAUGGAAGAGACCAAAGCAAAGUUGGAGAACCCCUUGGAUCAGAAGGUUGAGAAGGUGACAGUCUCCGGUAGGCUUGUGUCUUUAGCCUGCUGCAUUGGGACCAGGAGCUACGGCUGGACGGCCAACGUGGAGCAGAUCACAGGAGCCCAGGCACUUCCAGACAACUCCAGCUAUAUGAUGGUCAAAAACACCUGGAGAUGAACCUGACCACGUAACACACUCCUACCUCACGUCUAAUCACCACGUGACUCCCCACCAUGGAGACACUGCAGCAGAAGGCUGAGGUGGACAAAAGUGACAAGGCCGUCAAGGACCUGGUGGUGCUGCUAUUUGAAACUGCACUGCUCUCCUUUGGCUUCUCCCUUCAGGAUCCCCAAACUCCAGCUGCACUGAUGAAGAUGAAGUGACAGCAGAGGAACCCAGUGCUGCUGCUCCGAGGAGAUCCCACCCCUUGAGAGUGAUGAGGAUGCAUCUCACACGGAAGAAGUAGAUGAGGAGUUUAUACUUGGAUACCUUUUGCCCUCUGAAUCGUGUACCCAUGGUCCCACAGCCUUGAGUGGUCCUGUCCCGCUUGGCUUCCUCUACUAA